UCCACCCGGUGAGCAGCGGGGAGCCUCGGCCGCGCGGGGCAAGACCUGACGUGGGCGGAGGCCUGCGGGGGAUCCCAGAGGAAUGACCAGCUGCGACCACUUUCCCGGAGCGCCUGGAGCGCCCGCGUUCCUCCCCCGCGCUUCCUCGCGGCCGCGCGAGAAGCGCCCGCCUGUAGGUAGGUGUCCGAGCCCCGGCCUGAGUCGGCGGUCGGCUUUCCUCCCAGCAACCAGACGAACCCCAAGCCACCCGGCUCCUCUCGCUGCGCUGCUGGACGGGCGGGACGACCUGCCGACCGUAUGCAGAGAAUUUAACUGGAGGAAAACAAAGAAUACUUUGGGUGGAAAUGGAAAUUCCUGACGCUUGAGAAAUUGUUUGAAUACUUUUCCUAAUACUUCAGGCAUUGACGAGAGGAUCUGAAACUACAAAGUACCUUGAACUGUUGUGUCAACGUGCGGUAUCUUCAUUGUUCUUGGUGCUGAGGUGACAACUUAAGCAAUUUACAGUGAAAUAAAGGCCCCCCACCUUGCUCUACACAAACCAGUCGAACUAUUCUGAAUCAAAUUUGCACAGGUCGAAAGAACAGGAUGUUUUUCAAGGCUGGCUUUUUGGAAGCUCACGUUGACUUGCCCUGUUCUAGGCUUUUUCGCUGUUAAAUUUCCUCCAGUAGAUAGAAGUUUGGAAAGGAAUGUAUCAUCUGGUAUAGGAAGGUCAGGUUUUAAUAUCUUAAGUCUCCCGUUUAUUGCCUAAACUUGGUGAUCUAGGGCUGAAGUGGGGAGAAGCAUCUAUGGUUCAUUAAAACAAAUCCUUGUGGUUUAAGGGUCAGCUGAUUUUCUUGCUGCAGGACUUAAAAAGGAGAACUGGAUUUCCCUGAAGAGGUCUGGAUCCAGAUAAGCAGCUUUCAUUGAAAAGGAAGGAGCCAUGAAGCCACAGAAACGCGUGGAGGAAACUUGAUGCCUGUUACCAAGUAAAAGAAGCCAGUCUGAAAAGGCUGCACGCUGAUGACUCCAGCUCUGUGACAGUCCGGGACAGGCCAGACUGUGGAGCCAGCAGAAAGAUCUGUGCCUGUCAGGGCCCUGGGGGAGCGAGGGAUAAAUAGGUGGAGCACAGAGGAUUUUUAGGGCUGAGAAACUAUUCUGUGUGCUGUUAUGAUGGUGGAUACAUGUCAUUAUACAUUUGUCCAAAUCCACAGAAUGUACGAUACAAAGAGUGAUCUUUAAUGUAAUCUAUGGACUUUAGUUCAUAAUUUUGUAUAGAUAUUGGCUCAUCAAUCAUAACAAAUGUACCACACUAAUGCAAGAUGUUAAUAAUGGGAAAUUGGAGAGGAUGGGAACUUUCUACUUACUGCAGAAUUUGUCUAUAAACCUAAAACUCUAAAAAUAAAGUUUAUUAAUUUAAAAACAAGAAGUUAAUUUACUUUUCCUUUUUUGUACCAUAUCUACUUAGUCAUUUACUGCUUUAGCAAUGACAUUGUGUAGAACUGCCAGCUCACAGGGACCUUUCGGUCUCCAGUGUGGUCCUCUGCUCUGAGCUGCCUGGCUGCCUGGGCCUGGUCCCCAGGCGCCCAGCGCUGCUGUGCAGUGAGGAGAUGGGAGACCCGCGGGGUGGGCGGCAGCUUUUGCUCAGGCUUCCCAAUCUGAACAUGGCUGAAGAGUCACCUGAUGUCUUUAUAGCUUCCCUGGCUGACUGGGAGGAAGCUAGUUUCCAGGACUCACACUCUUUGAUGGACCAAGCCACUGCCAUGCCUUGGAGGGAUCAGUUCUCAUCUGACCUCAUUCAGAAUAUUUUUCUUACCAUAGACCAUUGAUUACUGAUUCAGAACCAUUCUUCCAUGUUGUUUUUAGGGGACUCUCAGUGUUCUCAGAGGCAUUUUGGUGCUCUGUUCUCCAGGACUCUGAUGGCCUUGUGUAUUCAUGUUCAGUAGCUGAUUACUGAUCUACUUCGGUUAUUCUGUUCUCUGCACAUCAGUUGUGCUUUUGGCAUAGAUGCUGUCUGGUCUGUUACCUAGUGAUUUUGCCUCUGUUGAGUAGGUGAGGUGGUCUUUCUGAUAUUUUUGAAAAUAGAUCGUAACCACUGUCUAACCUUUUGCAUUUUUUGCAAAGGACUCAUUCCUAGUCUUUGAACUCUUAAUGUUUGUUGUUCUUUGUGCAGUAAAAGCUUUUCUUUGGUUUCAGA
Manis pentadactyla (Chinese pangolin) is the source of this 2173-nucleotide long non-coding RNA. RefSeq lists it as uncharacterized. The record is from RefSeq and is a predicted model, not a curated record. NCBI's taxonomy places the organism in Eukaryota, Metazoa, Chordata, Mammalia, Pholidota, Manidae. The transcript has 3 exons.